Molecule: ribosomal RNA, 832 nt
Filed under: uncultured bacterium
Lineage: Bacteria
Description: bacterial SSU rRNA
Rfam family: Bacterial small subunit ribosomal RNA
Source: RNAcentral
GAGUUUGAUCCUGGCUCAGGACGAACGCUGGCGGCGUGCCUAAUACAUGCAAGUCGAGCGAACCAAUUGAAAGCCUAGCUUUCAUGAGGUUAGCGGCGGACGGGUGAGUAACACGUGGGUAACCUGCCCUAUAGACUGGGAUAACUCGCGGAAACGCGUGCUAAUACCGGAUAACACAUCAAAGUGCAUGCUUUGGUGUUGAAAGAUGGUUCUGCUAUCACUAUAGGAUGGGCCCGCGGCGCAUUAGCUUGUUGGUGGGGUAACGGCCUACCAAGGCGACGAUGCGUAGCCGACCUGAGAGGGUGAUCGGCCACACUGGGACUGAGACACGGCCCAGACUCCUACGGGAGGCAGCAGUAGGGAAUCUUCCACAAUGGGCGAAAGCCUGAUGGAGCAACGCCGCGUGAGCGAAGAAGGUCUUCGGAUCGUAAAGCUCUGUUGUAAGGGAAGAACAAGUGCAGUAGUAACUGGCUGCACCUUGACGGUACCUUACUAGAAAGCCACGGCUAACUACGUGCCAGCAGCCGCGGUAAUACGUAGGUGGCAAGCGUUGUCCGGAAUUAUUGGGCGUAAAGCGCGCGCAGGCGGCCUCUUAAGUCUGAUGUGAAAGCCCCCGGCUUAACCGGGGAGGGUCAUUGGAAACUGGGAGACUUGAGUGCAGGAGAGGGAAGCGGAAUUCCAUGUGUAGCGGUGAAAUGCGUAGAGAUAUGGAGGAACACCAGUGGCGAAGGCGGCUUCCUGGCCUGNUACUGACGCUGAGGCGCGAAAGCGUGGGGAGCAAACAGGAAUAGAUACCCUGGUAGUCCACGCCGUAGACGAUGAGUGCUAAGUG